This 422-nucleotide ribosomal RNA is filed under the name Oonops procerus. Its description in RNAcentral is "partial 16S ribosomal RNA". Lineage: Eukaryota; Metazoa; Arthropoda; Arachnida; Araneae; Oonopidae. The record is from RNAcentral.
UGCUCCAUGUAAUAUUAAUAGCCGCAGAUUUCUGUGCUAAGGUAGCAUAAUCACUUGUUCACUAAUUAUGAAAUAGAAUGAAUGGAAUCACGAAUUUUAAACUUUCCCAACUAAACCUAUUAAACCUAUACCCAAAGUAAAAAUACUUUCCUUUACCAAUAGACGACAAGACCCUAAUGAACUAUUCACUUAUGUUUUACUGGGGCGGUCAAUUAACAAAAUCUUAUUAUUCUCUUCCUAACCUACCCAUGUAUUUUUAUUUCAAAGUUACCAUAGGGAUAACAGCAUAAUUUUAAUUUAAAGCUCUUAUUAAAACUAAAGAUUAUGACCUCGAUGUUGAAUAGAAACUCUUUACUCUAUUUAUCCCAUCAUUUUAAGCAAAAUUAUAAAAAGAAAGUCUGUUCGACUUUUAAAAUUCUACA